Molecule: long non-coding RNA, 1218 nt
Organism: Pyrgilauda ruficollis (rufous-necked snowfinch)
Lineage: Eukaryota; Metazoa; Chordata; Aves; Passeriformes; Passeridae
Exons: 5
Source: RefSeq, a predicted model, not a curated record
CCGUGAGGGGCAGGAACGGGCUGGGCGGGGAGCGAAGGGAACAGCGCCGUCCCCAGCCCGGCCGGAGCGCAGGAGCAGCGUCGGGGAGGCGGAGUGCACGUUAUAGUGCUUCCAGUCUGGUUCUAAUUCUCUGCCACUGGCCGGGGCGCCUUCCACUAGACCAGGUUGCUCAGAGCCCCGUCCAAACUGGCUUUGAACGCCUCCAGGGGUGGGCUAGCCAGAGCUGCUCUGGCUGUACUUCAGACACUGGAAUGAGGUCUUCACACAAAUUUCUCAGCCUGCUGUCAUAGGCUGUGCUCCCCUUGUGCCACGGGCUGUAUGGAAAUGCUCAGCUAAGACUGGCGACACUGAGACUUCCACAGCUGACAGAAGACACUGAUCUCCAGCGAGGUUUUCACUGCUGUGCUUUGUAAACCUUGUCAUCAGGUCUGGCUGCAGCGGUGCCCAGAGCCACCCCGGUGCUACAGCUUUCCCUGAGCAAGGGCUCUGCAAGGGAGGAGUGAAAAGUGUUCUACAACACAACCACAUUUCGCAACAGUCCCUCAAGAGGGAAAGAGGAAUCAAAAUCAGUGCCUUUCAGGGUGUCUUUGUAGACUACAGAUGAAAAAGGCAUUUCAAGACCACAGACAGAGUAGCAACAAACCUCACUCCAGGUCCUGAUGAACGAAGCUUGAGCCCCAACUCGACUUACAGCUUUGCUAGGACGUGAGUCUACAACAACCAACUUACAUCAUGUUGAAGGAUCCAGAAAUACCUAAUGUUCCUUCCUCCAUGGAGACAAUACAACACUGGUUUGUGUUAUGAAGCAUUACUCCAGGCAAAGUCAUUUGAAGAACAAGUAACAAAAACCUCCAUUAAAAAAAGAAAGAUUCACAAAGCUAGCAAGUCACCUGGAAACACUUCUCUGUCAGUACAAGUUCUGUCAAAAGCCUCCACUGAAAAUCUCAAUGCAAGGCAAUGAAAUUUCGGACACACUAUAGAAGAUUCAGCAAAAAGCAUCCAAGUGUAAGCACUACAUGGCCAAUAAACACCAUUAUCAGAUUCAGUGCCUGUCACAGUUCAGCAGCUCAUAGAUAAAAGAUGUCAAAUCAAUUCUCUAACAAGUGGUUUGAGCAGAGAAACCAUUGCUGAUAACAGUAUCACACAAGGAGACACAGAGCCCAGUAUGCAUUUAUACUACACAAGCAUUAUUUUAUGGUUGAAAGCCCUGAAUCAGCC